CUUACCUAAAGUCCCAGAAAAGGGUAAAGAGAGAUUAUUUUUACAUGUAAUUUUUUUUAAUCCAUCAAGUCUCUCAUCACAUUUUGUCUAGAGGGCUUCAAUCUAUCUGAGUCAUGUGUUUGAAAGGAAAUUCACGAAGUGUAUGAAAUGUGUGCUAAUGGACCUCUUUAUCAUUCCACAGCAUUCCUGGAUAUGGAAUAUAAUUCCGUAUUGUUUCAGCACAAGAUAAUUUGGACAUAGACAAAGACUGUGCCCACAACCAUCUUCAAACCCUUACUAAGGAAAUGGAUAGAAACCUUUCUUGAUUACCAAAGAGUCAUCUAAUUUGUUUUUGUGGUCUGGAGAAACCGUUCCCAAAGUUGCCUCCUUGAAAUUCAGCAUCUGCUUGUUCUAAGCAGAGGAAACUAGAGCACACUUUUCAGUGUGUUAAUGUUCA
Long non-coding RNA from Felis catus (domestic cat), 436 nucleotides. RefSeq lists it as uncharacterized. The transcript has 2 exons. The record is from RefSeq and is a predicted model, not a curated record. NCBI's taxonomy places the organism in Eukaryota, Metazoa, Chordata, Mammalia, Carnivora, Felidae.